RNAcentral lists this small nuclear RNA (305 nucleotides) under Jaculus jaculus (lesser Egyptian jerboa). RNAcentral's name for it is "7SK RNA (ENSJJAG00000003297.1)". It matches the Rfam family "7SK RNA". Rfam says of the family: 7SK was discovered as an abundant small nuclear RNA in the mid-70s but a possible function has only recently been suggested. Two independent studies have found that 7SK RNA binds the CDK9/cyclin T complex (known as elongation factor P-TEFb). P-TEFb activates transcription by phosphorylating the C-terminal domain of RNA polymerase II. Lineage: Eukaryota; Metazoa; Chordata; Mammalia; Rodentia; Dipodidae. The record is from Rfam by way of RNAcentral.
GGAUGUGAGGGUGAUCUGGCUGCGACAUCUGUCACCCCAUUGAUUGCCAGGGUCGAUUUGGCUGACCUGGCUGGCUAGGCAGAUAUCCCCUUACUCCCUCACCGUUCACUGUCCCUCCUGAAGCUGCAUGCUUGGUCGAAGAGGACAACCUUCACCAAAUAGAGGAGGACUGGUCUUCAGUCAAGAUUACACGAGUAGCUGUGCUCCCUUGCUAGAACCUCCAAACAAGCUCUCAUAUAGUAGCAAACUCUACACUAUGCUUUUUCCCUUAGAUAUACAUACUUAUGGUAACAUUUAACUUAUUA